AGACCCGAAACCCGGUGAUCUAGCCAUGGGCAGGUUGAAGGUUGGGUAACACUAACUGGAGGACCGAACCGACUAAUGUUGAAAAAUUAGCGGAUGACCUGUGGCUGGGGGUGAAAGGCCAAUCAAACCGGGAGAUAGCUGGUUCUCCCCGAAAGCUAUUUAGGUAGCGCCUCGUGAACUCAUCUCCGGGGGUAGAGCACUGUUUCGGCUAGGGGGCCAUCCCGGCUUACCAACCCGAUGCAAACUGCGAAUACCGGAGAAUGUUAUCACGGGAGACACACGGCGGGUGCUAACGUCCGUCGUGAAGAGGGAAACAACCCAGACCGCCAGCUAAGGUCCCAAAGUCAUGGUUAAGUGGGAAACGAUGUGGGAAGGCCCAGACAGCCAGGAUGUUGGCUUAGAAGCAGCCAUCAUUUAAAGAAAGCGUAAUAGCUCACUGGUCGAGUCGGCCUGCGCGGAAGAUGUAACGGGGCUAAACCAUGCACCGAAGCUGCGGCAGCGGCACGCAAGUGUUGUUGGGUAGGGGAGCG
RNAcentral lists this ribosomal RNA (530 nucleotides) under Salmonella bongori. RNAcentral's name for it is "partial 23S ribosomal RNA". It matches the Rfam family "Bacterial large subunit ribosomal RNA", at positions 711 to 1238 of the family's 2925-position model. Lineage: Bacteria; Pseudomonadati; Pseudomonadota; Gammaproteobacteria; Enterobacterales; Enterobacteriaceae. The record is from RNAcentral.